RNAcentral lists this ribosomal RNA (520 nucleotides) under uncultured Diversispora. RNAcentral's name for it is "SSU rRNA". It matches the Rfam family "Eukaryotic small subunit ribosomal RNA", at positions 569 to 1087 of the family's 1831-position model. The record is from RNAcentral. Lineage: Eukaryota; Fungi; Glomeromycota; Glomeromycetes; Diversisporales; Diversisporaceae.
AGCAGCCGCGGUAAUUCCAGCUCCAAUAGCGUAUAUUAAAGUUGUUGCAGUUAAAAAGCUCGUAGUUGAACUUCGGGGUUUACCCAUUGGUCAGGCUUAAUUGUCUGUACUGGUGAGAUAAAUCUCUACCUUCUGAGGAACUUUCAUGCCAUUUAUUUGGUGUGAUUGGAAAUCAGGACUAUUACUUUGAAAAAAAUUAGAGUGUUUAAAGCAGGCUAACGUCUGAAUAUAUUAGCAUGGAAUAAUGAAAUAGGACGGCUUGGUUCUAUUUCGUUGGUUUCUAGGAUCACCGUAAUGAUUAAUAGGGAUAGUUGGGGGCAUUAGUAUUCAAUUGUCAGAGGUGAAAUUCUUGGAUUUAUUGAAGACUAACUACUGCGAAAGCAUUUGCCAAGGAUGUUUUCAUUAAUCAAGAACGAAAGUUAGGGGAUCGAAGACGAUCAGAUACCGUCGUAGUCUUAACCAUAAACUAUGCCGACUAGGGAUCGGACGAAGUUAAUUUUAUAAUGACGCGUUCGGCACC